GGACUUUUUUGUGAAGGAAAAUUUGCAACAAUAGAAUUUCUGCCUGUUAACUGAAACAUUUCAAGGCCUUCAUGCAGAAAUUGUCUUUAAACCCUUCCUGCCAUCUGCACCAUAUCACACAAAUGGAAAAUUGGUGUGCACAUCAUACACGGAAAUGAAGCGGUCCUUCAUUGACAUUUAACCUGUUGGCACUAAUAUAUAGUGCUGUACAUGAAUCACGAGACAAGCCAGAAUCCACAUGUCCUGGUGCUUGGUGACAAGGACAACUGGAACAGAAGAC
Molecule: long non-coding RNA, 280 nt
Organism: Carassius auratus (goldfish)
Lineage: Eukaryota; Metazoa; Chordata; Actinopteri; Cypriniformes; Cyprinidae
Exons: 3
Source: RefSeq, a predicted model, not a curated record